RNAcentral lists this ribosomal RNA (274 nucleotides) under uncultured bacterium. Its description in RNAcentral is "partial 16S ribosomal RNA". It matches the Rfam family "Bacterial small subunit ribosomal RNA", at positions 523 to 796 of the family's 1533-position model. The record is from RNAcentral.
AUACGGAGGGUGCAAGCGUUACUCGGAAUCACUGGGCGUAAAGCGCGCGCAGGCGGCUUGAUAAGUUGGAUGUGAAAGCCUACGGCUCAACCGUAGAACUGCAUCCAAAACUGUCAAGCUAGAGUCUGGGAGGGGAAGAUGGAAUUAGUUGUGUAGGGGUAAAAUCCGUAGAGAUAACUAGGAAUACCAAAAGCGAAGGCGAUCUUCUGGAACAGUACUGACGCUGAGGCGCGAAAGCGUGGGGAGCAAACCGGAUUAGAAACCCUAGUAGUCC